This 253-nucleotide ribosomal RNA is filed under the name uncultured bacterium. RNAcentral's name for it is "partial 16S ribosomal RNA". It matches the Rfam family "Bacterial small subunit ribosomal RNA", at positions 524 to 776 of the family's 1533-position model. The record is from RNAcentral.
UACGAAGGGGGCUAGCGUUGUUCGGAUUUACUGGGCGUAAAGGGCGCGCAGGCGGUUCUGUUUGUCGAGUGUGAAAGCCCCGGGCUCAACCUGGGAACUGCGCUCGAAACGGCGGAACUAGAGUUCGGGAGAGGAGAGUGGAAUUCCCAGUGUAGAGGUGAAAUUCGUAGAUAUCGGGAGGAACACCGGUGGCGAAGGCGGUUCUCUGGGCCUGACCUGACGCUGAGGAGCGAAAGCGUGGGGAGCGAACAGG